UUGCAAGUAUCCACUCACUACUCUAGUAAGUAUACCAUAUCUGGUCUCAUACAUGGUGUACAUGAUAGAACAAAUUCUACUCAUAAACACUCUAUGUAUAUUGGACUGAAAAAACUUAAGUAGCCUCUUAGAUCUAUCUCUAUAGAUCUUCAUCACUAGGAUGAGAGAUGCUAUUCUCAAAGUUCUUUAUGGAGAACAGUAAUAACAGUGAAAUC
This 215-nucleotide long non-coding RNA is filed under the name Elaeis guineensis (African oil palm). RNAcentral's name for it is "long non-coding RNA (EGUI_LNC082323)". The record is from RNAcentral. Lineage: Eukaryota; Viridiplantae; Streptophyta; Magnoliopsida; Arecales; Arecaceae.